This 390-nucleotide ribosomal RNA is filed under the name uncultured bacterium. RNAcentral describes it as "bacterial SSU rRNA". It matches the Rfam family "Bacterial small subunit ribosomal RNA", at positions 28 to 417 of the family's 1533-position model. The record is from RNAcentral.
GACGAACGCUGGCGGCGUGCUUAACACAUGCAAGUCGAGCGGUAAGGCCCUUUCGGGGGUACGACGAGCGGCGAACGGGUGAGUAACACGUGGGUGACCUGCCCUCAGCUCUGGGAUAAGCCUGGGAAACCGGGUCUAAUACUGGAUAUGACUCCAUGACGCAUGUUGUGGGGUGGAAAGCCUUGUGCGGCUGAGGAUGGGCCCGCGGCCUAUCAGCUUGUUGGUGGGGGUGANGGCCUACCAAGGCGACGACGGGUAGCCGGCCUGAGAGGGCGACCGGCCACACUGGGACUGAGACACGGCCCAGACUCCUACGGGAGGCAGCAGUGGGGAAUCUUGCGCAAUGGGCGAAAGCCUGACGCAGCGACGCCGCGUGAGGGAUGACGGCCU